AGAAGACUGACUGUGGGAGGUUUGUCACUCACAGUGAGGAAAAAGAGAUCAGAGAUUCCGUAGAACUUGGAGAGCUGGUAAGAAACCACCAAGCCAGCAUGUUCCUGGUCUUCACUAUUCCAUGAAUUCUGCUAUUUGCAAAGGAAACACUUGUAGUCCAGGACUGAAGGUCAUUCAUGACUUCGACAGAGAGCAAGGACAAUGAGGGUUAAGUGACUUGCCCAGGGUGACACAGCUAGUAAGUGUCAAGGCCAGAUU
Long non-coding RNA from Dromiciops gliroides (monito del monte), 258 nucleotides. RefSeq lists it as uncharacterized. The record is from RefSeq and is a predicted model, not a curated record. The transcript has 3 exons. NCBI's taxonomy places the organism in Eukaryota, Metazoa, Chordata, Mammalia, Microbiotheria, Microbiotheriidae.